GACGUAGGGCGCGAGCGUUGUCCGGAUUUAUUGGGCGUAAAGAGCUCGUAGGCGGCUUGUCGCGUCGACUGUGAAAACCCGCGGCUUAACUGCGGGACUGCAGUCGAUACGGGCAGGCUAGAGUUCGGUAGGGGAGACUGGAAUUCCUGGUGUAGCGGUGAAAUGCGUAGAUAUCUGGAGGAACACCGGUGGCGAAGGCGGCAUCCUGGACCGAUACUGACGCUGAGGAGCGAAAGCCAGGGGAGCAAACGGG
RNAcentral lists this ribosomal RNA (253 nucleotides) under uncultured bacterium. RNAcentral's name for it is "partial 16S ribosomal RNA". It matches the Rfam family "Bacterial small subunit ribosomal RNA", at positions 524 to 776 of the family's 1533-position model. The record is from RNAcentral.